UGGGUGGAUUUAGAAAACACUCUUCCUCGUGACAAUAAAAAAAAAAGACUUCCACUAGGUUUUCUAUCUGCUACUUUGCUAGCUCAGUCUACUGGGGACAUUU
This 103-nucleotide small nucleolar RNA is filed under the name Otolemur garnettii (small-eared galago). RNAcentral describes it as "Small nucleolar RNA SNORA32 (ENSOGAG00000024010.2)". Lineage: Eukaryota; Metazoa; Chordata; Mammalia; Primates; Galagidae. The record is from RNAcentral.